This 484-nucleotide ribosomal RNA is filed under the name uncultured bacterium. RNAcentral describes it as "partial 16S ribosomal RNA". It matches the Rfam family "Bacterial small subunit ribosomal RNA", at positions 30 to 507 of the family's 1533-position model. The record is from RNAcentral.
AUUGAACGCUGGCGGCAGGCCUAACACAUGCAAGUCGAGCGGAUGAAGGGAGCUUGCUCCUGGAUUCAGCGGCGGACGGGUGAGUAAUGCCUAGGAAUCUGCCUGGUAGUGGGGGAUAACGUCCGGAAACGGGCGCUAAUACCGCAUACGUCCUGAGGGAGAAAGUGGGGGAUCUUCGGACCUCACGCUAUCAGAUGAGCCUAGGUCGGAUUAGCUAGUUGGUGGGGUAAAGGCCUACCAAGGCGACGAUCCGUAACUGGUCUGAGAGGAUGAUCAGUCACACUGGAACUGAGACACGGUCCAGACUCCUACGGGAGGCAGCAGUGGGGAAUAUUGGGCAAUGGGCGAAAGCCUGAUGCAGCCAUGCCGCGUGUGUGAAGAAGGUCUUCGGAUUGUAAAGCACUUUAAGUUGGGAGGAAGGGCAGUAAGUUAAUACCUUGCUGUUUUGACGUUACCAACAGAAUAAGCACCGGCUAACUUCGUG